CUCCUUCAGGGUGGCCAAGGAGGGGGCAGUUGUUUGAAGUUCACCACUAAGCUCAAAGAGGAAAACAUGCAAAUGGUGGCUUCUCCUCCAUGUCAGAUGUGAUCUCUCUCUUCUUUCCUGCUACAGUAAUCCGGUACAACAGUGAUCUGGUUCAGAAAUACCACCCUUGCUUCUGGAUCGAUGGGCAGUAUCUCUGCUGCUCUCAGACAGCCAAAAAUGCUAUGGGCUGCCAAAUUUUGGAGAACAGGAAUGGAAGCUUAAAACCUGGGAGUUCUCACCGGAAGACAAAAAAGCCUCUUCCCCCA
Molecule: small RNA, 305 nt
Filed under: Pongo abelii (Sumatran orangutan)
Lineage: Eukaryota; Metazoa; Chordata; Mammalia; Primates; Hominidae
Description: processed transcript
Source: RNAcentral